GCAUCGGUGGUUCAGUGGUAGAAUGCUCGCCUGCCACGCGGGCGGCCCGGGUUCCGGUCCCCGAUGCA
This is a non-coding RNA of Cordylochernes scorpioides, 68 nucleotides long. Lineage: Eukaryota; Metazoa; Arthropoda; Arachnida; Pseudoscorpiones; Chernetidae. The record is from the annotation of a GenBank genome assembly.